RNAcentral lists this ribosomal RNA (460 nucleotides) under uncultured bacterium. RNAcentral's name for it is "partial 16S ribosomal RNA". It matches the Rfam family "Bacterial small subunit ribosomal RNA", at positions 338 to 795 of the family's 1533-position model. The record is from RNAcentral.
CCUACGGGUGGCAGCAGUGAGGAAUAUUGGUCAAUGGGCGCGAGCCUGAACCAGCCAAGUAGCGUGAAGGAUGACUGCCCUACGGGUUGUAAACUUCUUUUAUAAAGGGAUAAACUGAGGCACGUGUGCCUUUUUGUAUGUACUUUAUGAAUAAGGAUCGGCUAACUCCGUGCCAGCAGCCGCGGUAAUACGGAGGAUCCGAGCGUUAUCCGGAUUUAUUGGGUUUAAAGGGAGCGUAGGUGGGUUGUUAAGUCAGUUGUGAAAGUCUGAGGCUCAACUGUGAAAUUGCAUUUGAUACUGGCAGGCGUGAGUAUAGUUGAGGUAGGCGGAAUGCGUGGUGUAGCGGUGAAAUGCUUAGAGAUCACGAAGAACUCCGAUUGCGAAGGCAGCUUACUAAGCUGCCACUGACAUUGAUGCUCGAAAGUGUGGGUAGCAAACAGGAUUAGAUACCCGUGUAGUC